Molecule: non-coding RNA, 94 nt
Organism: Dentipellis sp. KUC8613
Lineage: Eukaryota; Fungi; Basidiomycota; Agaricomycetes; Russulales; Hericiaceae
Source: the annotation of a GenBank genome assembly
UCCCGUUUAGCUCAGCUGGUAGAGCGCGUCACUAGUACUUUCCAAAGAGUCGAGUCUAAUGACGAGGUCAGUCGUUCAAGUCGGCUAAUGGGAA